UACAGAGGGGGCAAGCGUUGUUCGGAAUUACUGGGCGUAAAGGGCGCGUAGGCGGCCUGUUAAGUCGAACGUGAAAUCCCCGGGCUCAACCCGGGAACUGCGUCCGAUACUGGCAGGCUUGAAUCCGGGAGAGGGAUGCGGAAUUCCAGGUGUAGCGGUGAAAUUCGUAGAUAUUGGGAAGAACACCGAUGGCGAAGGCAGCCAUCUGGACCGACACUGACGCUGAGGCGCGAAAGCGUGGGGAGCAAACAGG
This 253-nucleotide ribosomal RNA is filed under the name uncultured bacterium. RNAcentral describes it as "partial 16S ribosomal RNA". It matches the Rfam family "Bacterial small subunit ribosomal RNA", at positions 524 to 776 of the family's 1533-position model. The record is from RNAcentral.